UUUUCCCAGCACACUAUCUCUCUACCUCUCAUCUUCUUCUUACCUCUCUCUCUCUCAACCCCACAAACACACAAACUCCAUCCAACCCCACCAUCACUUCUUCUUCUUCCUUCUUCCUUCAACUUUCACACACGAUCACCCUCUCACCGAAGCAUCACCAUCUUUUUCGACCGGCAACCUUCUGGCGGCCAUUUUUUCCAAAGGAUCUUCUUUCUUUCUCUUGUUCCUAUAUUUUUUUUUAAGAUUUGGCAGGAAAUACGCAAAUUCAAUAAAAAAGGGCGCGAAAGCAAAUUCUCCAGGCGAUAAGCGAAAAAUCCAAGCCAGCCACCUCAUCGCAUGUACGGCCAAGCUUCACCGCAUGUGCAGCCCACCACCGCUCGAGCGGCCCACCUAAGGUUGCAUGUGUGAAAUUUUAAGGCUCUUCUGCUGGGAAUAAAAGGAAAAAGAGGACAUUAAAAGAGGGUUCAAAAAUUAUUCUAAGGAAAGGGAGGCAAGAGUUUUGAAAAUGUGAUUUUUCCUCAAGCUUUAAGAAAAACUCUCAUGAGGGCUUCUUUCUUUUCCACCUUUUCCAACUCUUCCUACUCCUUCAUGAGUGGUUAGGGUCUUUUUUUCUAGGGUUUUGAUGAAAUCCUAUCCACGUAAAGAGAUUUUUCUUGAGCUUUGAUUGUGAAAUGGUUUGAACAAAUGUAUGGACGUUUUAGAAGUUUAUAAUAAUUGUUCUUUUCA
Non-coding RNA from Camellia sinensis, 726 nucleotides. The record is from RefSeq and is a predicted model, not a curated record. Lineage: Eukaryota; Viridiplantae; Streptophyta; Magnoliopsida; Ericales; Theaceae.